RNAcentral lists this ribosomal RNA (555 nucleotides) under Halicephalobus sp. San100. Its description in RNAcentral is "partial large subunit ribosomal RNA". It matches the Rfam family "Eukaryotic large subunit ribosomal RNA", at positions 358 to 952 of the family's 3401-position model. The record is from RNAcentral. Lineage: Eukaryota; Metazoa; Nematoda; Chromadorea; Rhabditida; Panagrolaimidae.
GGAAAGUUGAAAAGCACUCUGAAGAGAGAGUUAAAAGAACGUGAAAACGAUUAAGUGGAAGCAAACAGGUCUAUUGGGAGGUGUAUAGUUUUCUAUGCAUCUGCUAAUACAUAUGUGGAGUUUCUAUUAUUCUAUUUUAAGAGGACUCACAUAUGUGAGAACCCUUAUAAUGGUUGAACGUUAUCUCCCUAUAUGAAUAUUAGCAUUUAUGAUAGUUACCUGUUUGACCCGUCUUGAAACACGGACCAAGAAGUUUAUUGUAUACGCGAGUCAUUAAGUGUUAAAACUUAUUGGCAUAAUGAAAGUAAAGGUUCACUUGUUGAGCUAAUGUAUGAUAAAGUGUUUACGGACAUUUUAGCAGUACAGUCCUAUUCUUAUGGCUUGCCAUGGAGUGGAGAUAGAGCGUAUGCAAUGAGACCCGAAAGAUGGUGAUCUAUGCUUGAGCAGGAUGAAGCCGGAGGAAACUCUGGUGAAAGUCCGUAACGGUUCUGACGUGCAAAUCGAUCGUCUGACUUGAGUAUAGGGGCGAAAGACUAAUCGAACCAUCUAGUAGCU